UGGCAGAGACUGAGGCCUUUAUCAGACCCGCCAUCAAAGUCAAAGUUGGCUCCCUGCACUCAUGGCUCUCACAGCUAAGAUUCAAUCAAUGGAAGCAGCGUGCAGGGUCGAGGACAGCCGGCCCCACAUGUCAGUGGUCUAGGAUGGCCAGUGAGGGCGCCAGCAUCCCGAGUCCUGUGGUACGCCAGAUUGACAAGCAGUUUCUGAUCUGCAGUAUAUGCCUGGAACGGUACAAGAACCCCAAGGUCCUGCCCUGUCUGCACACUUUCUGCGAGAG
This 277-nucleotide long non-coding RNA is filed under the name Rattus norvegicus (Norway rat). RNAcentral describes it as "long non-coding RNA NONRATT016513". Lineage: Eukaryota; Metazoa; Chordata; Mammalia; Rodentia; Muridae. The record is from RNAcentral.